UGCAAGUCGAACGAGAAAGUUCCUUCGGGAACGAGUAAAGUGGCGGAAGGGUGAGUAAUACGUAGACAACCUACCUUUUAGAGGGGGAUAACUCCUGGAAACAGGGGCUAAUACCGCAUAGUCAACCGCGACCUCCUGGCCGUSGUUKUACAGGGGGCUCUGCUCUCGCUAGAAGAGGGGUCUACGCACUAUCAGCUUGUUGGUGAGGUAAUGGCUCACCAAGGCGAUGACGGUUAGCCGAGCUGAGAGGCUGAACGGCCACACUGGGACUGAGACACUGCCCAGACUCCUACGGGAGGCUGCAGUAGGGAAUUUUGCGCAAUGGACGAAAGUCUGACGCAGCGACGCCGCGUGCGGGAUGAAGGCCCUCGGGUUGUAAACCGCUGUCACCUGGGAGUAAGGGUCCGUAGGUUAAGAGCUAAUGGAUUUUGAUUUAACCAGGAGAGGAAGCACCGGCUAACUCCGUGCCAGCAGCCGCGGUAAUACGGAGGGUGCAAGCGUUGUUCGGAAUCACUGGGCUUAAAGGGUCCGUAGGCGGCAGGAUAACUCAGGUGUGGAAUCUUCGGGCUUAACCCGGAAAUUGCGCCUGAAAAUGUUCUGCUAGAGGGCAGAAGGGGUGAGUGGAACUUCUGGUGGAGCGGUGAAAUGCGUAGAUAUCAGAAGGAACGCCGGANGCGAAAGCGACUCACUGGUCUGUUUCUGACGCUGAGGGACGAAAGCUAGGGGAGCAAACGGGAUUAGAUACCCCGGUAGUCCUAGCCGUAAACGAUGAGCACUAGAUGGUGGGAUCUUCGGAUCUCGCUGUCGUANGGAAACCAUUAAGUGCUCCGCCUGGGGAGUACGGCCGCAAGGUUAAAACUCAAAGGAANUNGACGGGGGCUCGCACAAG
This 889-nucleotide ribosomal RNA is filed under the name uncultured bacterium. Its description in RNAcentral is "bacterial SSU rRNA". It matches the Rfam family "Bacterial small subunit ribosomal RNA", at positions 56 to 929 of the family's 1533-position model. The record is from RNAcentral.